UUCAUAUUCUUCGCAGAAUUAGUCCCAUGAAACAAACGUCAGAUGCUCUAUAAUUACUCAAAUUGGAACUGAGCUAACAGUGUCUUGUCCUUCAGAUAAUAUCUGAACCUAUGUUUUUUAUGUAAGCUGUUAUUAACAGCUUUGAGCUCAACCAAGUUGCAUAGAGGAAACGAGAGAGACUGAUCUCUUUCCUCUUCAAGCAAGGGCACUUUCAAAGAGAAAAAAAUUAAGACUCAUCCUCUC
Molecule: unclassified non-coding RNA, 243 nt
Filed under: Hevea brasiliensis (rubber tree)
Lineage: Eukaryota; Viridiplantae; Streptophyta; Magnoliopsida; Malpighiales; Euphorbiaceae
Source: RNAcentral